UUCCCCUAGUAACGGCGAGUGAAGAGGGAAAAGCUCAAAUUUAAAAUCUGGCGGUCUACGGCCGUCCGAGUUGUAAUCUAGAGAAGUGUUUUCCGCGCUGGACCGUGUACAAGUCCUUUGGAACAAGGCGUCAUAGAGGGUGAGAAUCCCGUCUACGACACGGACUGCCAAGCGCUUUGUGAUACACUCUCAACGAGUCGAGUUGUUUGGGAAUGCAGCUCAAAAUGGGUGGUAAAUUCCAUCUAAAGCUAAAUAUGGGCGAAAGACCGAUAGCGAACAAGUACCGUGAGGGAAAGAUGAAAAGCACUUUGGAAAGAGAGUUAAACAGUACGUGAAAUUGUUGAAAGGGAAACGCUUGAAGUCAGUCGCGUCUUCAGAAAUUCAGCUGGGCUUCUGCCCUGUGUACUUUUCUGUGGGACGGGCCAGCAUCAGUUUCGGCUGCCAGAAAAAGGUGGGAGGAAGGUGGCACCUCCGGGUGUGUUAUAGCCUCCGAUCGUAUGUGGCAGCUGGGACUGAGGACCGCAGCACGCCUUCAUGGCCGGGGUUCGCCCACGUAACGUGCUUAGGAUGCUGGCGUAAUGGCUUUAAGCGACCCGUCUUGAAACACGGACCAAGGAGUCUAACAUGCCUGCGAGUAUUUGGGUGGCAAACCCAUAUGCGCAAUGAAAGUGAACGGUUGGGACUUCUGUCAUGGAAGGCACCGACGCCCGGACCAGACCUAUUGUGACGGAUCCGAGGUAGAGCAUGUAUGUUGGGACCCGAAAGAUGGUGAACUAUGCCUGAGUAGGGUGAAGCCAGAGGAAACUCUGGUGGAGGCUCGUAGCGAUUCUGACGUGCAAAUCGAUCGUCGAACUUGGGUAUAGGGGCGAAAGACU
RNAcentral lists this ribosomal RNA (875 nucleotides) under Geastrum cf. triplex A KH-2011. Its description in RNAcentral is "LSU rRNA". It matches the Rfam family "Eukaryotic large subunit ribosomal RNA", at positions 75 to 932 of the family's 3401-position model. The record is from RNAcentral. Lineage: Eukaryota; Fungi; Basidiomycota; Agaricomycetes; Geastrales; Geastraceae.